RNAcentral lists this long non-coding RNA (1511 nucleotides) under Ananas comosus (pineapple). RNAcentral describes it as "long non-coding RNA (ACOM_LNC020617)". Lineage: Eukaryota; Viridiplantae; Streptophyta; Magnoliopsida; Poales; Bromeliaceae. The record is from RNAcentral.
GGUAAUGAUCAUCUGAAACAUCUUCGCUUUUAUAGUUGCAUGGAUGAUUUCUUUUCGUCCACGAUGUGAUAUUCGCAUUCUUUAAUGGUAUAUAGAUGAAAUUCCGAUCGGCAUGACUACUUCCAUUGAGUUCGUAAGAGAUGAUAUUAUCGUUUUCUCCUCAUCAAACCUAGAGUAGAUACCUUCAUAUGACAAUCAAAGAUUCUUUGAGAAACUAGUUGAGGAAUGCCUACGGAACAUUUCAAUCAUUAAAGUCUCUGGCCUUUAUAAUUCAUUGCAAUCUUAUUUACCCUUGUAGUUUAUUUCCUCCGUCAAAUUGAACAGAAAUAUAUAUAUCCAUGUAAUUGUCAUUUAACCGCAUACGCGAGAUGGUAUCUUGAAGAUCAAUUCUGCAUUUCCUUCUUUUUCAGCUGACUAUGGUGAUCCAAGAGACCCUUCGCCUCUAUCCUCCCGCUUCUUUCGUGACGCGCGAAACUCUAAGAGACAUGAAGCUUGGAGCCAUCCACAUUCCGAAAGGCGUCAAUGUGAAGAUNUUGGAUAUCUUUACGCCGUUAAACGAGAAAACGUCUCUUAUCGACCAUUAAAAUUACAAAUUUUGAAACCCUUUGAUCAUUAGGCAAAUGAUGUCGACAAGAUUUGAAAUUUGAUUUCUAAACACUUCAAGUGGUAUAGAUCAUAUUCAACGGAGCCGAUCGUCAAUUUGGAAGUUCUAUCAUCGAAAACAAAUCGGUAGUAAAACAGCUCGUUUACUACCGAUAGUAUUCUAGCUCAACUCUAUAUAUAUAUAUAUAUAUAUAAGGUGAUGCAAUAUGUCUCAUUUAAUUAUUAAGGAACUACAAUGUUGUACUAGAUAUCAACCAACAAGCAGGAACAGAGAGAUAUGGAGGUUAGAUAGAGAAAUCCGUUUACUCAUUCUGAACGUCGCGAAUGAGCACAAGAGAGAAGGCUCGUCAUCCUCAUCCAGUAAAAAUGAUCUUUUACAAGCCAUAGUCGAGGGUGCUAGCGGCAGGGGUGAUGAGUUUAUAGUCGACAAUUGCAAGAAUAUCUACUUUGCGGGGCAUGAAACGACGGCGGUCAGCGCCACAUGGUGUUUGAUGCUUCUUGCUGCGCACCCAGAAUGGCAGGAACGCGCUCGAGCUGAGGUUUUAGAGGCGUGCCAGGGGAAAUCACUUGAUUUCGAAAUGCUCAGGAGGUUGAGAACGGUAAUGAUCAUCUGAAACAUCUUCACUUUUAUAGUUGCAUGGAUGAUUCCUUUUCGUCCACGAUGUGAUAUUCGCAUUCUUUAAUGGUAUAUAGAUGAAAUUCCGAUCGGCAUGACUACUUCCAUUGAGUUCGUAAAAGAUGAUAUUAUCGUUUUCUCCUCAUCAGACCUAGAGUAGAUACCUUCAUAUGACAAUCAAAGAUUCUUUGAGAAACUAGUUGAGGAAUGCCUACGGAACAUUUCAAUCAUUAAAGUCUCUGGCCUUUAUAAUUCAUUGCAAUCUUAUUUACCCUUGUAGUUUAUUUCCUCC